Long non-coding RNA from Myotis myotis, 914 nucleotides. RefSeq lists it as uncharacterized. NCBI's taxonomy places the organism in Eukaryota, Metazoa, Chordata, Mammalia, Chiroptera, Vespertilionidae. The record is from RefSeq and is a predicted model, not a curated record. The transcript is spliced from 5 exons.
UACGUGUUCUGUAGCGUAAACUCUUGGUCUGGGCUGCAGCCCGAGAAUAACUCCUUUCUAAGCCGGAUUCUUGGCGUUUCCGGGAGAAUAGAAUCUUCUUUUUUUUUUUUUUUUUUUGGCUAAUUCAAGUAAUUGUUGACCACAAUAAUGAUUGCAGCAGCGGCGUUACCAAGAGUGUCUAGGGAGGGGAAGCGGCUGCAGUUCCUGAGACCGACUUCCAGGAGACCAGCGGCGCUGUUGGGAUCAUGCCAAUGGCACCGGUCCAUUGGUGCCUGCCCCAUUCUCCAGAGAUUGGACCUGCAGGACCACUGAGGGAAAGGAAGUCACUAAGUCCAGCCCACACUGAAGAAGAGUUGAAGAUAAAGCUCUGCUUCCUAGAAGGAAUAAUUUUGAUUUUACCCAGUGCAUAUUUUCCUUUGAGAUCAUCACCAAGAAGCUGACCCAUGCUGUACAAACACUAGUGGGUCUCUGUGAAGGUGACGGUUUUAAGACCAUUGGCUUGAAGUAGCUGCCUCUUCCCCAGACUCCUGUUCAGUUCAUGCUGGUGUGGACCUCAUGCCUGUGAUUUGAAUCUUCAUUGCUGUAGCUGCUCUGAGACAAAAAUCUAGAUAUAAAUGGAGUAGCAGAUGGGUGCCAAAUAUACUUUGAGGAUAACAGGAAGGUGAGUACAGGGGAAAUAUAUCUUUUGACAAUUCAGAGUGACUUUCCACAUAUAUUAACAGGCAAUGACUUUCAGAAAAUAUCCAUUUCUCCACAAACAAAACAUGACCAACUGUAUUGCUUGCCUUCAUCACUUUACCAUACAAAGUACCAUUCUCACAUUGAAUGAUUUUACUCGGGGAGUUUGCAUGAUACAAUGUAGAAAGUUAAUUGCAUGUAAUUGGGUCAGAGAAGGGACUAAGUAAGUAGCCAAG